AGUCGAGCGGACCUUCGGGUGUAGCGGCGGACGGGUUAGUAACGCGUGGGAACGUGCCCUUCUCUACGGAAUAGCCUCGGGAAACUGAGAGUAAUACCGUAUACGCCCUUCGGGGGAAAGAUUUAUCGGAGAAGGAUCGGCCCGCGUCUGAUUAGAUAGUUGGUGGGGUAAUGGCCUACCAAGUCUACGAUCAGUAGCUGGUUUUAGAGGAUGAUCAGCAACACUGGGACUGAGACACGGCCCAGACUCCUACGGGAGGCAGCAGUGGGGAAUCUUAGACAAUGGGCGCAAGCCUGAUCUAGCCAUGCCGCGUGAGUGAUGAAGGCCUUAGGGUCGUAAAGCUCUUUCGCCAGAGAUGAUAAUGACAGUAUCUGGUAAAGAAACCCCGGCUAACUCCGUGCCAGCAGCCGCGGUAAUACGGAGGGGGUUAGCGUUGUUCGGAAUUACUGGGCGUAAAGCGCACGUAGGCGGAUCAGAAAGUUGGGGGUGAAAUCCCAGGGCUCAACCCUGGAACGGCCUCCAAAACUCCUGGUCUUGAGUUCGAGAGAGGUGAGUGGAAUUCCGAGUGUAGAGGUGAAAUUCGUAGAUAUUCGGAGGAACACCAGUGGCGAAGGCGGCUCACUGGCUCGAUACUGACGCUGAGGUGCGAAAGUGUGGGGAGCAAACAGGAUUAGAUACCCUGGUAGUCCACACCGUAAACGAUGAAUGCCAGUCGUCGGGUAGUAUACUGCUCGGUGACACCCCUUAACGGAUUAAACAUUCCGCCCUGGGGGAGUCGGGUCGCAAGAUUUAAACUCAAAGGAAUUGACGGGGGGCCC
RNAcentral lists this ribosomal RNA (818 nucleotides) under uncultured Alphaproteobacteria bacterium. RNAcentral's name for it is "bacterial SSU rRNA". It matches the Rfam family "Bacterial small subunit ribosomal RNA", at positions 60 to 923 of the family's 1533-position model. The record is from RNAcentral. Lineage: Bacteria; Pseudomonadati; Pseudomonadota; Alphaproteobacteria.